AAAACUUUCAACAACGGAUCUCUUGGUUCCAGCAUCGAUGAAGAACGCAGCGAAAUGCGAUAAGUAAUGUGAAUUGCAGAAUUCAGUGAAUCAUCGAAUCUUUGAACGCACAUUGCGCCCCUCGGUAUUCCGGGGGGCAUGCCUGUUCGAGCGGUCAUU
RNAcentral lists this ribosomal RNA (159 nucleotides) under Usnea rubicunda. Its description in RNAcentral is "5.8S ribosomal RNA". It matches the Rfam family "5.8S ribosomal RNA". From Rfam's summary of the family: 5.8S ribosomal RNA (5.8S rRNA) is a component of the large subunit of the eukaryotic ribosome. It is transcribed by RNA polymerase I as part of the 45S precursor that also contains 18S and 28S rRNA. Lineage: Eukaryota; Fungi; Ascomycota; Lecanoromycetes; Lecanorales; Parmeliaceae. The record is from RNAcentral.